This 497-nucleotide ribosomal RNA is filed under the name uncultured bacterium. RNAcentral's name for it is "partial 16S ribosomal RNA". It matches the Rfam family "Bacterial small subunit ribosomal RNA", at positions 28 to 507 of the family's 1533-position model. The record is from RNAcentral.
GAUGAACGCUGGCGGCGUGCCUAAUACAUGCAAGUCGAGCGAACAGAUGAGGAGCUUGCUCCUCUGACGUUAGCGGCGGACGGGUGAGUAACACGUGGAUAACCUACCUAUAAGACUGGGAUAACUUCGGGAAACCGGAGCUAAUACCGGAUAAUAUAUUGAACCGCAUGGUUCAAUAGUGAAAGACGGUUUUGCUGUCACUUAUAGAUGGAUCCGCGCCGCAUUAGCUAGUUGGUAAGGUAACGGCUUACCAAGGCAACGAUGCGUAGCCGACCUGAGAGGGUGAUCGGCCACACUGGAACUGAGACACGGUCCAGACUCCUACGGGAGGCAGCAGUAGGGAAUCUUCCGCAAUGGGCGAAAGCCUGACGGAGCAACGCCGCGUGAGUGAUGAAGGUCUUCGGAUCGUAAAACUCUGUUAUUAGAGAAGAACAAAUGUGUAAGUAACUAUGCACGUCUUGACGGUACCUAAUCAGAAAGCCACGGCCAACUACGUG